AAGGUCGUAACAAGGUUUCCGUAGGUGAACCUGCGGAAGGAUCAUUAGAGAUGUGCGCAAGCACUUUUGCCCUUCAUACACCUGUGCACCGUGGUCUCCGGACCUACAAAGCAUGAAGUCACGAACCGUAUCAUAUCAUAACAAAAUUAAAAG
Molecule: unclassified non-coding RNA, 153 nt
Filed under: plant metagenome
Description: partial contains small subunit ribosomal RNA and internal transcribed spacer 1
Rfam family: Eukaryotic small subunit ribosomal RNA (bases 1-47)
Source: RNAcentral